AUACAGAGGGUGCGAGCGUUAAUCGGAAUUACUGGGCGUAAAGCGCGCGUAGGCGGCUUAUUAAGUCAGAUGUGAAAUCCCCGGGCUCAACCUGGGAACUACAUCUGAUACUGGUAAGCUAGAGUUUUGGAGAGGGAAGUAGAAUUUCAGGUGUAGCGGUGAAAUGCAUAGAGAUCUGAAGGAAUACCAGUGGCGAAGGCGACUUCCUGGCCAAAAACUGACGCUGAGGUGCGAAAGCGUGGGUAGCAAACGGGAUUAGAUACCCUAGUAGUCC
This 274-nucleotide ribosomal RNA is filed under the name uncultured bacterium. Its description in RNAcentral is "partial 16S ribosomal RNA". It matches the Rfam family "Bacterial small subunit ribosomal RNA", at positions 523 to 796 of the family's 1533-position model. The record is from RNAcentral.